CCUUCUAGCAAUUAGAUCCUCCUCUAUGCAUAAAAUGGGGACAAAAGAGUUUAAUUAAAAUUUGCGACUCCCCGCUUACCUCCAUAAUGCUUUACCCAUUCAUAGAUGACAUGUGUUUUGAUGAAAUGCUAAAAGACUGCACUCAUCUUAGUUGUCAUGGUUCCACAAUCCCUUAGCCUCACCAGUUGCCAUCAGUCAUCAAACGUUUCUAAUUUUUAUUUAUUAAUUAAACUAAACUCGAAGU
RNAcentral lists this long non-coding RNA (244 nucleotides) under Elaeis guineensis (African oil palm). Its description in RNAcentral is "long non-coding RNA (EGUI_LNC006377)". Lineage: Eukaryota; Viridiplantae; Streptophyta; Magnoliopsida; Arecales; Arecaceae. The record is from RNAcentral.